AUUGAACGCUGGCGGCAGGCCUAACACAUGCAAGUCGAGCGGAUGAAGGGGGCUUGCUCCUGGAUUCAGCGGCGGACGGGUGAGUAAUGCCUAGGAAUCUGCCUGGUAGUGGGGGAUAACGUCCGGAAACGGGCGCUAAUACCGCAUACGUCCUGAGGGAGAAAGUGGGGGAUCUUCGGACCUCACGCUAUCAGAUGAGCCUAGGUCGGAUUAGCUAGUUGGUGGGGUAAAGGCCUACCAAGGCGACGAUCCGUAACUGGUCUGAGAGGAUGAUCAGUCACACUGGACCUGAGCCACGUUCCUGACUCCUACGACAGGCAUCAGUGGGGAAUUUUGGACAAUGGGCGAAAGCCUGAUCCAGCCAUGCCGCGUGUGUGAAGAAGGUCUUCUGAUUGUAAAGCACUUUGAGUUGGGAGGAAGAGCAGUAAGUUAAUACCUUGCUGUUUUGACGUUACCAACAUAAUAAGCACCGGCUAACUUCGUG
Molecule: ribosomal RNA, 484 nt
Filed under: uncultured bacterium
Lineage: Bacteria
Description: partial 16S ribosomal RNA
Rfam family: Bacterial small subunit ribosomal RNA
Source: RNAcentral